RNAcentral lists this ribosomal RNA (460 nucleotides) under uncultured bacterium. RNAcentral describes it as "partial 16S ribosomal RNA". It matches the Rfam family "Bacterial small subunit ribosomal RNA", at positions 338 to 795 of the family's 1533-position model. The record is from RNAcentral.
CCUACGGGCGGCAGCAGUGAGGAAUAUUGGUCAAUGGACGGAAGUCUGAACCAGCCAUGCCGCGUGCAGGAAGACGGCUCUAUGAGUUGUAAACUGCUUUUGUACAAGGGUAAACCUGAAUACGUGUAUUCAGCUGAAAGUACUGUACGAAUAAGGAUCGGCUAACUCUGUGCCAGCAGCCGCGGUAAUACGGAGUAUCCAAGCGUUAUCCGGAUUUAUUGGGUAUAAAGGGUGGGUAGGCGGAUUGAAAAGUUAGAGUUGAAACGUCCGGGUUUAACACGGUAACUGUCUCGAAUACUGUUGAUCUAGAGAGUAGAUGCGGUAGCCGGAAUGUAUGGUGUAGCGGUGAAAUGCUUAGAGAUCAUACAGAACACCGAUUGCGAAGGCAGCUUACCAAUCUAUAUCUGACGUUGAGGCACGAAAGCGUAGGGAGCAAACAGGAUUAGAUACCCCUGUAGUC